This 462-nucleotide long non-coding RNA is filed under the name Phasianus colchicus (ring-necked pheasant). RNAcentral's name for it is "lncRNA (ENSPCLG00000015058.1)". Lineage: Eukaryota; Metazoa; Chordata; Aves; Galliformes; Phasianidae. The record is from RNAcentral.
AUGCCUACGAGCGCCUCCUGCUGGACGUGGUGUGCGGGAACCAAAUGCACUUCGUGCGCAGGUGGGGGCGGGGGGGGUUGGGGUGGGGGCUCUGUGGGGUCUGGGGGGGGUCCUAUGGGUCUGGGGGGUCCCUGUGUGUCCCUAUGGGGUCUCAAUGGGGUCCCUGUGUCCCUAUGUGUCCCUGUGGGGUCCCUAUGGGGUCUCUGUGUGUCCCUCUGUCCCUGUGUCCCUAUGGGGUCUCAAUGGGGUCCCCGUGUGUCCCUAUGGGUCCCAAUGGGGUCCCAAUGGGGUCCCUAUGGGGUCUCUAUGUGUCCCUGUGUGUCCCUCUGUCCCCGUGUGUCCCUAUGGGGUCCCCAUGUGUCCCUGUGUCCCUGUGGGGUCUCAAUGGCAUCCCUGUGUCCCUGUGUGUCCCUAUGGGGUCCCUGUGUCCCUAUGGGGUCCCUAUGGGAUCUCUAUGGGGUC